UUUCCGUAGGUGAACCUGCGGAAGGAUCAUUAAUGUGUUUGGGCCUCACGGCUCUUCAUUCCGACGCUGUGCGCCUUCGGGCUGCACGCUGAGGGAGCAUAUAUCCACCCCUGUGCACACACACGGUGGCGAGCUGGGUAACGGCUCGCCGCUGACCUUUACACACGUCUAAAAGUCAUUGUAUGUUUAUUUGAGAUAAAAACACAACUUUCAGCAACGGAUCUCUUGGCUCUC
RNAcentral lists this unclassified non-coding RNA (234 nucleotides) under plant metagenome. RNAcentral describes it as "partial contains small subunit ribosomal RNA, internal transcribed spacer 1, and 5.8S ribosomal RNA". The record is from RNAcentral.